Molecule: non-coding RNA, 26 nt
Filed under: Homo sapiens (human)
Lineage: Eukaryota; Metazoa; Chordata; Mammalia; Primates; Hominidae
Source: RNAcentral
UGGAGAACACUGGAGCUGCCCACAAA